RNAcentral lists this ribosomal RNA (205 nucleotides) under uncultured bacterium. RNAcentral's name for it is "partial 16S ribosomal RNA". It matches the Rfam family "Bacterial small subunit ribosomal RNA", at positions 568 to 775 of the family's 1533-position model. The record is from RNAcentral.
UGCGUAGGUGGCGAGGUAAGUUUGAUGUGAAAUCUCCGAGCUCAACUCGGAAAUGGCAUUGAAUACUAUCCCGCUUGAGGGUCGGAGGGGAGACUGGAAUUCUCGGUGUAGCAGUGAAAUGCGUAGAUAUCGAGAGGAACACCAGUGGCGAAGGCGAGUCUCUGGACGACUCCUGACACUGAGGCAAGACUGGGGGAGCGAAACA